RNAcentral lists this long non-coding RNA (785 nucleotides) under Chelonoidis abingdonii (Abingdon island giant tortoise). RNAcentral describes it as "lncRNA (ENSCABG00000021677.1)". Lineage: Eukaryota; Metazoa; Chordata; Testudines; Testudinidae. The record is from RNAcentral.
CCCGGAGCCCCGCCCCUCACGCCGGUUUGUUAUCAAGCGCCGGGGAAGGGAGGGGCUGGAAGGAGGAAGCUCUUAAAGGGCCCGCGCCUAACGCUGGAGCCCCCUGCAGGACAGCUCAGGAACUGCAGGCUCGCGAGAGACGUCAAAAUGGGGGCCAGCCCCACGUGCCCCACCUGGCCCAAGGGCCUGGACUCAGUCUUAAGAUGUGCUGGAACUACGAUGCCAUGGCAGAGAGUCACUAACCUCCCUCUGAAGCCUUCAACUUUGGGCCUGGAAACCCAAAUUAUUCUGAAGAGCUCAAGGAGGACCCAGAGGCAGGAAUUUCAGGUGAUGUCUCAGUGAUGACAACCAACCCUCCAGGUCCCUCCCUGCAGCCCAGCAAGUUCCCCCAUCCCUGUCCCUCAUAUAAAAGCAGUUGAGACCACAGAGGGUGUAUUCUGUCAUAGGACAUACAAGGAGAUGAUGACUGGCUGUUAGAGCAUUUGGGUAAGUGGAUUUACUUGGAGUAAUUACAAGCUGAUGGAGUAGUCAUGCAACAUAUCCUUCAGUUAAUAACCCUUUUCUUUUUUUCUUUUCAAAUUGCAGUAGUGUGGUACUGAGACAGCCUAUGGACUGCCAUGGCAACACCAGUAAAGACUUGUGAGGGAGAGGCCGGUAUUAGUGUGUCUGCAUACUGCUAACUAACCUUUGAUUCUUUGUCCCUUACAUGUUUGCAAGUGAGUCCCCACGGGGCAGAGUGCAGGGGACAGAGAAGAAGAAAAGAAGAAAGAAAGUUUAAGUGUACU